Molecule: ribosomal RNA, 467 nt
Filed under: uncultured bacterium
Lineage: Bacteria
Description: partial 16S ribosomal RNA
Rfam family: Bacterial small subunit ribosomal RNA
Source: RNAcentral
ACGAACGCUGGCGGCGUGCUUUACACAUGCAAGUCGAACGGAAAGGCCCUGCUUUUGUGGGGUGCUCGAGUGGCGAACGGGUGAGUAACACGUGAGUAACCUGCCCUUGACUUUGGGAUAACUUCAGGAAACUGGGGCUAAUACCGGAUAGGAGCUCCUGCUGCAUGGUGGGGGUUGGAAAGUUUCGGCGGUUGGGGAUGGACUCGCGGCUUAUCAGCUUGUUGGUGGGGUAGUGGCUUACCAAGGCUUUGACGGGUAGCCGGCCUGAGAGGGGGACCGGCCACAUUGGGACUGAGAUACGGCCCAGACUCCUACGGGAGGCAGCAGUGGGGAAUAUUGCACAAUGGGCGGAAGCCUGAUGCAGCAACGCCGCGUGCGGGAUGACGGCCUUCGGGUUGUAAACCGCUUUCGCCUGUGACGAAGCGUGAGUGACGGUAAUGGGUAAAGAAGCACCGGCUAACUACGUG